GCCCCAACGAUUCAGCGUUGGGGACAGUGAUGGCAGACGGAACUUUUGCAGCGUUGCUGGUGUUGGCGGGACUUGCCGACAUGAGCUUCAACCAUUGCGGCACGGACACCGGGUGUCUGGGCGUCAGCGAAGAUACACCGCGGCUUUCGUUCGCGAUCGGCUCCUGGGUCGAUCGGAAUGCGGAUGAACAGCUCGAGGCGUAUCUCCGGUAUGACUUCGCCCGUCACGAGGGGCCGUUCGGCUUCGCGGCCGGCGCGUCGGUUGCCGAAGAGGGUGAGGUUUGGGCCGGGUUCGGCGCAACCUACGAUCUCGAGAUCGGCGACAGCGGGUUCUUUACCGAGUUGCACUUCAUGCCGGGCCUUUACGCCGAUAAUGGCGGGUUCGACCUGGGCGGUGCGGUGAUUUUCCGUUCGGGGAUCGAAUUCGGCUACGAGGCCGCCAACGGCUGGCGGUUCGGGGUCGGGUAUGAUCACCGGUCGAACGGCGGUCUUUACGACCAGAACCCCGGGGUCGAAACCGUGCAUCUGAGGAUGUCGGUCGCGUUCUAGCGGUUGUCAUAAAUGUCCAGUCUGGUGACGGCGUACCUUUUGUAUAAUGGGUCAUCGACUUGGUCUCACGAGCAAGCUUAAGCCGAUAGGUGUAGGCGCAGCGAAAGCGAGUCUGAAUAGGGCGUCGAGUUCGUGGGAUCAGACCCGAAACCGAGUGAUCUAGGCAUGACCAGGAUGAAGGUAAGGUAACACUUACUGGAGGUCCGAACCCACACCUGUUGAAAAAGGUCGGGAUGAGUUGUGCCUAGGGGUGAAAGGCCAAUCAAACUCGGAGAUAGCUGGUUCUCCGCGAAAUCUAUUUAGGUAGAGCGUCAUCCGAAUACCCCGGGGGGUAGAGCACUGGAUGGGUAAUGGGGCCCCACAGGCUUACUGAUCCUAACCAAACUCCGAAUACCCGGGAGUACUAGAUGGCAGACACACGGCGGGUGCUAACGCCCGUCGUGGAGAGGGAAACAACCCUGACCUCCAGCUAAGGCCCCUAAUUCAUGGCUAAGUGGGAAAGCAGGUGGGACGACCAAAACAACCAGGAGGUUGGCUUAGAAGCAGCCAUCCUUUAAAGAUAGCGUAACAGCUCACUGGUCUAAAUAAGUUGUCCUGCGGCGAAGAUGUAACGGGGCUCAAGCCAUGAGCCGAAGCUGAGGAUGCCGUAAGGCAUGGUAGCGGAGCGUAGUGUGAUAUAACUCCAUGUCUCUUUAUUGCCUUCGGGCAAUGCGGAGACGCGGGGUUUUCUGUGAAGCCGGGGCGUGAGCCAUCCGGUGGAGAGAUCACUAGCGAGAAUGAUGACAUGAGUAGCGACAAACAGGGUGAGAGACCCUGUCGCCGAAAGUCCAAGGGUUCCUGCUUAAAGCUAAUCUGAGCAGGGUAAGCCGACCCCUAAGGCGAGGCCGAAAGGCGUAGUCGAUGGGAACCAGGUUAAUAUUCCUGGGCCAGGAGGAUGUGACGGAUCUCGAAGGUUGUUCUUCCUUAUCGGAUUGGGAGGGCCGCUUAGAGGUUCCUGGAAAUAGCCCUCCGUUAGAUCGUACCCUAAACCGACACAGGUGGACUGGUAGAGAAUACCAAGGCGCUUGAGAGAACGAUGUUGAAGGAACUCGGCAAAAUACCUCCGUAAGUUCGCGAGAAGGAGGCCCGAGUUUUAGGCAACUAGAACUUGGGGGCACAAACCAGGGGGUGGCGACUGUUUACUAAAAACACAGGGCUCUGCGAAGUCGCAAGACGACGUAUAGGGUCUGACGCCUGCCCGGUGCCGGAAGGUUAAAAGGAGGGGUGAGAGCUCCGAAUUGAAGCCCCGGUAAACGGCGGCCGUAACUAUAACGGUCCUAAGGUAGCGAAAUUCCUUGUCGGGUAAGUUCCGACCUGCACGAAUGGCGUAACGACUUCCCCGCUGUCUCCAACAUCGACUCAGCGAAAUUGAAUUGCCUGUCAAGAUGCAGGCUUCCCGCGGUUAGACGGAAAGACCCCGUGCACCUUUACUACAGCUUCGCACUGGCAACAGGACUGGGAUGUGCAGGAUAGGUGGUAGACUUUGAAGCCGGAACGCCAGUUUCGGUGGAGUCAUCCUUGAGAUACCACCCUUCGCAUUCUUGUUGUCUAACCGCGGUCCGUUAUCCGGAUCCGGGACCAUGCGUGGUGGGUAGUUUGACUGGGGCGGUCGCCUCCCAAAGAGUAACGGAGGCGUGCGAAGGUUGGCUCAGAGCGGUCGGACAUCGCUCGUUGAGUGCAAUGGCAGAAGCCAGCCUGACUGCGAGACUGACAAGUCGAGCAGAGUCGAAAGACGGCCAUAGUGAUCCGGUGGUCCCGCGUGGAAGGGCCAUCGCUCAACGGAUAAAAGGUACGCCGGGGAUAACAGGCUGAUGGUGCCCAA
This 2409-nucleotide ribosomal RNA is filed under the name marine metagenome. RNAcentral describes it as "bacterial LSU rRNA". The stretch from base 505 to 2409 matches the Rfam family "Bacterial large subunit ribosomal RNA", at positions 1 to 2495 of the family's 2925-position model. The record is from RNAcentral.